UCGGACGGGGUGAGUAACGCGUGAGAAUCUAGCUUCAGGUUCGGGACAACAGUUGGAAACGACUGCUAAUACCGGAUGUGCCAAGGGUGAAAGGCUUGCUGCCUGAAGAAGAGCUUGCGUCCGAUUAGCUAGUUGGUGAGGUAAAGGCUUACCAAGGCAUCGAUCGGUAGCUGGUCUGAGAGGAUGACCAGCCACACUGGGACUGAGACAAGGCCCAGACUCCUACGGGAGGCAGCAGUGGGGAAUUUUCCGCAAUGGGCGAAAGCCUGACGGAGCAAUACCGCGUGAGGGAAGAAGGCUCUUGGGUUGUAAACCUCUUUUCUCAGGGAAUAAAAAAAUGAAGGUACCUGAGGAAUAAGCAUCGGCUAACUCCGUGCCAGCAGCCGCGGUAAUACGGAGGAUGCAAGCGUUAUCCGGAAUGAUUGGGCGUAAAGCGUCCGCAGGUGGUACAACAAGUCUAGUGUCAAAGACCGGGCUCAACCCCGGAAAGGCGGUAGAAACUGUUGAACUAGAGGGUCGUAGGGGUAGAGGGAAUUCCCAGUGUAGCGGUGAAAUGCGUAGAGAUUGGGAAGAACAUCGGUGGCGAAGGCGCUCUACUGGACGGCAACUGACACUCAGGGACCAAUGCUAGGGGAGCGAAUGGGAUUAGAUACCCCCUUAGUCAC
RNAcentral lists this ribosomal RNA (665 nucleotides) under Geitlerinema sp. PUPCCC 110.4/1. RNAcentral describes it as "bacterial SSU rRNA". It matches the Rfam family "Bacterial small subunit ribosomal RNA", at positions 98 to 797 of the family's 1533-position model. Lineage: Bacteria; Bacillati; Cyanobacteriota; Cyanophyceae; Geitlerinematales; Geitlerinemataceae. The record is from RNAcentral.